AGGACGAACGCUGGCGGCGUGCCUAACACAUGCAAGUGGAGCGACGACCCGGGCUUCGGCCCGGUGCAAAGCCGCGAACGGGUGAGUAACACGUGGGUAACCUGCCCUGAUGAUUGGGACAACCCGAGGAAACUCGGGCUAAUACCGAAUGUGCCCUCUGGCCGUAAGGCCUCUGGGGAAAGGAAGCUUCGGCCUCCGCAUUGGGAUGGGCCCGCGGCCCAUUAGCUUGUUGGUGAGGUAACGGCUCACCAAGGCAACGAUGGGUAGC
This 268-nucleotide ribosomal RNA is filed under the name uncultured bacterium. RNAcentral describes it as "partial small subunit ribosomal RNA". It matches the Rfam family "Bacterial small subunit ribosomal RNA", at positions 26 to 287 of the family's 1533-position model. The record is from RNAcentral.